Molecule: long non-coding RNA, 208 nt
Filed under: Capsella rubella
Lineage: Eukaryota; Viridiplantae; Streptophyta; Magnoliopsida; Brassicales; Brassicaceae
Description: long non-coding RNA (CRUB_LNC003346)
Source: RNAcentral
GUGGAACUCAUCUACGCAGGGCAAAUAAUUGCAUGUGUACAUGUACGUGUUGCCAAUUUCUUUUCAAAUUCUCUCUUAUUUUCUUUUUUUUUUUGGUAAAGACUUAUUUUAUUUUUGGAUGAAUAGUAAAAGACGUGUUGCCAAAGUGAUCACUUCUUGUCGCCAUAGAAAGAGAGAAAAAAAAGUAAUUGUUUUCCCCUAAACUUUU